RNAcentral lists this ribosomal RNA (356 nucleotides) under Pyrenula bahiana. Its description in RNAcentral is "partial small subunit ribosomal RNA". The record is from RNAcentral. Lineage: Eukaryota; Fungi; Ascomycota; Eurotiomycetes; Pyrenulales; Pyrenulaceae.
UUUCCUAUAUGGAGCAUAUCAGAUCCUUUCGGAGGAAUUGUCUGCUGAAACCUUAGCGAGCCCUGCUAUUCAGGGCUGACCGUACGACUAUAAAUAAGACGGGUCCUUGGUUAAAGGUAUUCAGUAUCUUAACUAAGUUGCUGGUCAGCUUUACCGCUGGCAACACCCUUAGUCUGCGGGAAUACUCUCAAGAGCAACCUGCAGCUAUGCUUUCUGCGGCAUACCGCCAGAUAGUGUGGCUCACAGGCUAAAUAGUGGUGGAUGCCGUCCUAAGAUGGUAUUUCAGAUAUAGUCGCGUCCCGGGAACAUUGAUACCGAGACUGUGUUCCGUAGGUGAACCUGCGGAAGGAUCAUUA